Long non-coding RNA from Hippocampus comes (tiger tail seahorse), 217 nucleotides. RefSeq lists it as uncharacterized. The transcript is spliced from 2 exons. The record is from RefSeq and is a predicted model, not a curated record. Lineage: Eukaryota; Metazoa; Chordata; Actinopteri; Syngnathiformes; Syngnathidae.
GGUACUUCUCGCGAGACUUUCUCGUCAGUAGCUCGCGCUCCAGUAUGGCAGCUGUCGCGCUGAGGUCUUGUCGCAGAGGGUUUUCUCGCUUUUUAAGCCAUGGCGGCUUCGUACCUUCGUCCGACACACACUCGAAAGGAGACCGAAGACACAAGUCCACAGUCCAGUAUGCUACCAGGCCUGAUCUACCCAAACUCGCCUAUAGGAGGGUGAAAGG